This is a long non-coding RNA of Copidosoma floridanum, 554 nucleotides long. The record is from RefSeq and is a predicted model, not a curated record. Lineage: Eukaryota; Metazoa; Arthropoda; Insecta; Hymenoptera; Encyrtidae.
GUAAAAAUUGUAUUUUUUAUUUAUUGUAACAUAUUCGCACACGAUAAUGUGUGUAACACUGCGUAUCUUGGAUGUGUAUCUGAAAGCAGUAGAAGCGAGCGGAACAAAUAGGACAACUGAAAAAAGUGGUAAAACCCGCAAAUCUAUCACACAAAGCUGCAAGACCCCAAGCAAGUUCGCACAUGUGCUGACAACUAAAAUCUUACUAACUGACUGAUGAAUAAAUCAUAACAAUCACUGGCUUCUCUACACUACGAAAGAUUGUGCGCAAGUAAUUAUAUCACUAAAAUUUAUGUGAUCCCUGUAAUGAGUGAGCCUCGAUUCGCAUUCGAUUUGUAAGUUACUUUACGCAAAUUCAUCAUGGCCCCCCGUAAAUCCAAGGCUAAAAAAGUUUCCGAAUAUAAAACUCCAAAAGUAAACACUCCCAAAGUCGACUAUCAGCCUCAUUGCACAACGCCAAGUAUCCAGAUUCGCAAAGUAAAACAAAGAAAAGCACAAUGUGGAGUAUGCAAAGCCAGAAUAACGAGGCUCGAAUGGCCGCAUCACAAUUUAAU